GGUUAAGUUAGAAAGGGCGCACGGUGGAUGCCUUGGCACUAGGAGCCGAAGAAGGACGGGACUAACACCGAUAUGCUUUGGGGAGCUGUACGUAAGCGUUGAUCCAGAGAUUUCCGAAUGGGGGAACCCACUAUCUUUAGUCGGAUAGUAUCCUUACGUGAAUACAUAGCGUGAGGAAGGCAGACCCAGGGACCUGAAACAUCUAAGUACCUGGAGGAAGAGAAAGAAAAAUCGAUUUCCUGAGUAGCGGCGAGCGAAACGGAAAGAGCCCAAACCAAGAAGCUUGCUUCUUGGGGUUGUAGGACACUCUAUACGGAGUUACAAAAGAAAGUUAUAAAUGAAGCGGUCUGGAAAGGCCCGCCAAAGACGGUAACAGCCCGGUAGUUGAAAUGGCUUUCCCUCCAGAGUGGAUCCUGAGUACGGCGGAACACGUGAAAUUCCGUCGGAAUCCGGGAGGACCAUCUCCCAAGGCUAAAUACUCCCUAGUGACCGAUAGUGAACCAGUACCGUGAGGGAAAGGUGAAAAGCACCCCGGAAGGGGAGUGAAACAGUUCCUGAAACCGUGUGCCUACAAGUAGUUAGAGCCCGUUAAUGGGUGAUAGCGUGCCUUUUGUAGAAUGAACCGGCGAGUUACGAUUUGUUGCAAGGUUAAGCGGAAAAAGCGGAGCCGUAGCGAAAGCGAGUCUGAAUAGGGCGCAUAAGUAACAGGUCGUAGACCCGAAACCAGGUGAUCUACCCAUGUCCAGGAUGAAGGUAAGGUAAUACUUACUGGAGGUCCGAACCCACGCACGUUGAAAAGUGCGGGGAUGAGGUGUGGGUAGCGGAGAAAUUCCAAUCGAACUUGGAGAUAGCUGGUUCUCUCCGAAAUAGCUUUAGGGCUAGCCUCGAGGUAAAGAGUCAUGGAGGUAGAGCACUGUUUGGACUAGGGGCCCUUCUCGGGUUACCGAAUUCAGAUAAACUCCGAAUGCCAUGU
RNAcentral lists this ribosomal RNA (973 nucleotides) under Listeria monocytogenes. Its description in RNAcentral is "partial 23S ribosomal RNA". It matches the Rfam family "Bacterial large subunit ribosomal RNA", at positions 1 to 968 of the family's 2925-position model. Lineage: Bacteria; Bacillati; Bacillota; Bacilli; Caryophanales; Listeriaceae. The record is from RNAcentral.